Mycena galericulata is the source of this 123-nucleotide non-coding RNA. NCBI's taxonomy places the organism in Eukaryota, Fungi, Basidiomycota, Agaricomycetes, Agaricales, Mycenaceae. The record is from the annotation of a GenBank genome assembly.
ACACCAAUGGUGAAGCGGUUAUCAUGCUUGCCUUCCAUUCAUCGGUCACGUGACCCCUUAUGUAGGGUUUCCGCUACACCGAUGCGGUAGCAAGCGGCAGGGGUUCGACUCCCCUUUGGUGUA